Molecule: transfer RNA, 73 nt
Filed under: Acidimicrobiales bacterium
Lineage: Bacteria; Bacillati; Actinomycetota; Acidimicrobiia; Acidimicrobiales
Also listed under: 1 other name
Description: tRNA-Gln
Rfam family: tRNA
About the family: Transfer RNA (tRNA) molecules are approximately 80 nucleotides in length. Their secondary structure includes four short double-helical elements and three loops (D, anti-codon, and T loops).
Source: RNAcentral
UCCCGGGUAGUUCAAUUGGUAGAACACAGGACUUUGAAUCCUGGCGUUGGAGGUUCGAGUCCUCCCCCGGGAG